UGGCGGCGUGCUUAACACAUGCAAGUCGAACGAAGCGAUUUGAGAAGUUUUCGGAUGGAAGUCAAAUUGACUGAGUGGCGGACGGGUGAGUAACGCGUGGGUAACCUGCCUCAUACGAGGGGGAUAACAGUUAGAAAUGACUGCUAAUACCGCAUAAGCGCACGGAAGCGCAUGCUUCUGUGUAGAAAAACUCCGGGUGGUAUGAGAUGGACCUGCGUCUGAUUAGCUAGUUGGUGAGGUAACGGCCCACCAAGGCGACGAUCAGUAGCCGACCUGAGAGGGUGACCGGCCACAUUGGGACUGAGACACGGACCCAAACUCCGUACGGGGAGGCAGCAGGUGGGGAAUAUUGCACAAUGGGGGAAACCCUGAUGCAGCGACGCCGCGUGAGUGAAGAAGUAUUUCGGUAUGUAAAGCUCUAUCAGCAGGGAAGAGAAUGACGGUACCUGACUAAGAAGCCCCGGCUAACUACGUGCCAGCAGCCGCGGUAA
Molecule: ribosomal RNA, 491 nt
Filed under: uncultured bacterium
Lineage: Bacteria
Description: bacterial SSU rRNA
Rfam family: Bacterial small subunit ribosomal RNA
Source: RNAcentral